RNAcentral lists this ribosomal RNA (619 nucleotides) under uncultured Actinomycetes bacterium. RNAcentral's name for it is "bacterial SSU rRNA". It matches the Rfam family "Bacterial small subunit ribosomal RNA", at positions 556 to 1177 of the family's 1533-position model. The record is from RNAcentral. Lineage: Bacteria; Bacillati; Actinomycetota; Actinomycetes.
GGGCGUAAAGAGUUCGUAGGCGGUCUGUCGCGUCGGAAGUGAAAACCCGGAGCUCAACUCCGGGCCUGCUUUCGAUACGGGCAGACUUGAGUGUUGCAGGGGAGACUGGAAUUCCUGGUGUAGCGGUGGAAUGCGCAGAUAUCAGGAGGAACACCGGUGGCGAAGGCGGGUCUCUGGGCAACAACUGACGCUGAGGAACGAAAGCGUGGGAAGCGAACAGGAUUAGAUACCCUGGUAGUCCACGCUGUAAACGGUGGGCACUAGGUGUGGGGACCAUUCCACGGUCUCUGCGCCGCAGCUAACGCAUUAAGUGCCCCGCCUGGGGAGUACGGCCGCAAGGCUAAAACUCAAAGGAAUUGACGGGGGCCCGCACAAGCGGCGGAGCAUGCGGCUUAAUUCGAGGCAACGCGAAGAACCUUACCUAGGCUUGACAUAUAGCGAAAAGUGGCAGAGAUGUCAUGUCCGCAAGGGCGCUAUACAGGUGGUGCAUGGUUGUCGUCAGCUCGUGUCGUGAGAUGUUGGGUUAAGUCCCGCAACGAGCGCAACCCUCGUUCUGUGUUACCAGCAUUCAGUUGGGGACUCACAGGAGACUGCCGGGGUCAACUCGGAGGAAGGUAAU